This is a non-coding RNA of Rattus norvegicus (Norway rat), 12276 nucleotides long. The record is from RefSeq and is a predicted model, not a curated record. Lineage: Eukaryota; Metazoa; Chordata; Mammalia; Rodentia; Muridae.
AUUAAAUCAAUCUGGGAAGGUGCAGUGAGUUCUGGGGAAAAUUUGAAGCUUCCUGGAGCAGGUGGGCUGGAGCUGACCUUUCCAGAAAUUGGAAACAGGACCUCGAUCUGCUAGGAAGCAACUGGACUUCACUAUAUUCCUGAAAGUCAAGUUUUCCAUCUAUCUCAGAAGUUAAGAGCUGGGAAGGUGGGGUGGUUUGAGUAUGACUAACCCAGGGAGUGGCACUAUUUGGAGGUGUGGCCUCCAUGGAGUAGUUGUGGUCUUGUUGGAGUAGGUGUGGCCUUGAUAGAGUGGGUGUGUCUUGAUGGAGUGGGUGUGGCCUUGAUGGAGUAUGUGUGCCACUGUGGAAUUAGGCUUUAAAAUUCUCAUCCUAGCUGCCAAUUUAAUGUUGUCCAUUAUAAGAGUUGCCUUGGUCAUAGUGUCUGUUCACAGGAGUAAAGUGCUAGCUAACACAGAAGGGCAGAGCUGUUUGCUGAGAGCUCUUGGCUUUUACUCUUAUUGUCAGGGAAAUAAGACUGAAGAAGAAGGGACAGAAUAGUGAAGUGGCAACAUUUUGGGACAGGAAAUAAAAGUACUUCCUGCCCAGUAGAUUCCUUUAGUAGCAGGUGCUAUCUGGCACUAAUUAGAGGACAAGUAAAAUGCUCUGUCCAAGCCUUAGGAUCUCAGGUUUUACCACAGAACUACUCUGACCACUGUAGGUCUCUGAGUCAGCAGGUGUGGGUGGCAGGCAGAACCCUACUACGGCAAGCCCUGUGCAAAACACUGGAUCCACACAAAGACUUGCUCUUAGCUGCUAGCUCCGGGUGUUCUGGGCUGUAAGUCUGGUUACUCUUGAGUCUGGUGACUUUGUAACCCUACAUGGCUUCUUUAAGGCCAUGUGCAGUGUGAGAUAGACGGAUAUCUGGGCAUCUGCAGCCUGUGAGUUCUUGUGGCCUUUGGGGUUUUUCUCCCAGCUUCUAUAAACACAACCUUCAGUGUUCUGAAGCCAAGUUGGCUCCUCUGCAGCUGUGAGCCUGAGGAGGCUGUGUCCUUGGUCCUGAGGAGGCUGUGUCCUUGGUGCCUGAGGAGGCUGUGUCCUUGGUGCCUGAGGAGUCUGUGUGCUUGGUGCCUGAGGAGGCUGUGUCCUUGGUCCUGAGGAGGCUGUGUGCUUGGUGCCUGAGGAGGCUGUGUCCUUGGUGCCUGAGGAGUCUGUGUGCUUGGUGCCUGAGGAGGCUGUGUGCUUGGUGCCUGAGGAGGCUGUGUCCUUGGUGCCUGAGGAGUCUGUGUGCUUGGUGCCUGAGGAGGCUGUGUCCUUGGUGCCUGAGGAGGCUGUGUGCUUGGUGCCUGAGGAGGCUGUUUCCUUGGUCCUGAGGAGGCUGUGUCCUUGGUGCCUGAGGAGGCUGUGUGCUUGGUCUCUUGAAGCACGUGCUAAGGGAACCAGAGGAAACCAUAUCCACCUCUCUACAAACCUAUAUGGACAUUGACCUCCAAGCCUGGGUUUUCUGAAGCAGCCAGGGCAAUUCUCGUCUGUCUGUUCACUCCUGAUCAUACUUCACUGUGCUUGGGCUGGACUGUGAAGAAGUGGUGUGUAGAGAAGGCGCUGUCCCUCAGCUGCUGCACCUUAGCGUCUACUGAAGAUACCUCAAGUCUUCUGUGACAGGUCAAAGAUUUGAGCAGCAGUCACUUGCAAUUGAUUCUUUGAUUUUCAGCUGGAGGUCAGCACAUAGAGUUGUGCUGCCGCACACGUCAUUGUUCACAUCAGCAAGUUCUCUCAAAGCAUCAGGACACCAUUGUUUCCAAGUCUCCCUCUCUAGUUCUGAUCUCUGUAGGCAUCCUCCACACCUUGCCUUCUAGAUUACCGUAUGUCCUCCAUCCAUUUCUCCCUUGUAUUGUUUCUGUUCAUGUGUGCACACUCGUGUGUGUGUGUGUGUGUGUGUGUGUGUGUGUGUGUGUGUUCACACAGUUCCUGGAUUCAUGAAGAAACCUGACUCACAGCACAGACAAUCUACUGGCUGCAACACCUCUUCCUCCACCAGAGAACUGUGUUCCACUCCCACUUGCGAAUUCAGUUUUUAUGCCAGUUUAGGUACAUCUUGCUACGAAACUCCUGUGGGAGCCUGUGUAAGCAAGAUGUGAAUGCCAGAUAGGUCAGUGUCAGAAUGUUCUUCUCGAUAGAUGUCCUUCAAGAAAGAGUUACAAAAACCAUGAUAAUGAACGUAUUUGAAAUCAAGGACAUGAAGAAAAUGUGAUUGUGUUUAUCUCUGUGGGAAAGAAAGAGAGCUGGGAGGAACAUUCUUUGAUUUUCUUAUGUACCCAAGUAAGCCUUUCAUAUUCCCUCACGGUAUUUGAAUAUGUUUAAGGUAGCGUGAGUUCACCUCUUGUUUGCUAUGUAUUAGUGAAAGUUCUCUGGAGGAACAACUUAGAGAACCUCGCAUUCCCUUCCUUGCUCUGUCUCUCUCUAUGUUUAAUAAAUAUAUUCAUAUGUAUUUAAAUGGAAACAUAUAUGCAAAUCUCAUGUAUGUGUAUAUGAUUUAUUAGGAAUUUUUCUUGCCAGUUGUGGUGCCACAUGCCAAUGUGAUUUGCUGAAGGAGCCAGAGGUGUGAGGACAAUGAGCCCAAGGCCAGCCUGGGCUACACAUUUUAGGGCUGGUGAGAUGGUUCAGCCUUUAAAGGCUAGGCUCAAAACCAAAGAUAUAAGAAUUUAUUAGAAACAAUAAUGGGCUGUACAAUGGAACAAUGGUUAUUUAUGGAAGGAAGACACAAGAAUCUGGUUGUAGUUCAGCUGCUGAAGUGGCUGGAUGUCUCAUCUGGCCUACAGUAUAUGCCUGUAGUUCAGAACGAUGAAGAAGUUGGCUCUAAGAGUAGUGAAGAAAUGGACUCUUUAAGGAGCACAGUGACAAGCAGGCAGGCAGGGAGAGCUUCCCUCUUCUAUGAUCUUCAUGCAUCCUGCCAACAGAGGGUGUGGUGGCUGAGAGUAAAGUUGGCUCUUCGUCUCACUAAAGAGAAAGAUUGAAGGUUUAUUGUCCCACCUCAAAAAUCCAGGUUAGAACAGGAUGGUCCCAGUUCAAGUAGUUAAUUAAGGAAAAAUGGAUCAGACGUGUGCCCCGUAAAGUUGUGUUUCAGUAAAUUCCUGAAGUAGACAGCUAGACAACCAGGACUUGCCAUCACAGACGGCUUCAGUGAUAAAAAUGAGAAGUGUCUGUUUUCACUGGUCUUGAUCUCAGAAGCCUUGAGUUCCCUGCUAUCCCACAUGGGUCUCUGCAAUGUCCUUUCAUGGGCAGAGUCAGCCUGAGAGAUCACAGAGAAGGUCUACAAACUACAUUGUGGUCUCAACACUAGCCUCUCAAAGAUCCUAUUUCCAAACCAGGUUCACAUUCCCCUUAACUGGAUUGGGACUUGAACAUCAGAAAGGCACUGUCCACCGAUCCGUCAUACAGUAUAGGGUUCAGGAAGGCACAGAAGUCACCUGUAGGGUAGAGUACAGUAGCUCUGUGGGGUGUGGCAAUCCAGGCUCAACGUGAUCCUGGUCUUCACUGCAGGGCCAUCAGUGAGUUUAAAGGUGAAGUGAGACACUAAGCUCUGGGGCAAAGGCAUCUUAGUAAUCUGUCCCCUUUGCCCUCUCCCUUCCGUGCUUCUGUUGCAGUGGAUUUGUAUAUAAGGCUGGCUGUGUCACCUUUCCUCAUAGGGGCCUGUGAUUCACGAAGAAUGGUACCCCAUACUCCAAUAGUGUGCAACAACAGAGGAGAACCUGCAUGCAGGGGUCCACCAUACAUCAGCAAGGAAGACAGAGGUGUGGACUCUGCAGGGUCAACUUAAAGCCUGUAAGGGGAGGAGUGGGUGACUUUUCCUUUUUGGUCUUGAUGGUUUUCUCUUUCUUCAUGGGUCUGGUUACCUUUGUGAUUGGUUAAAGCUCUGUGAGAUUAGGGCUGCUUUUGCUGACCACACUUGGCUCAAGCUAGGUGGUGGGGCAGCAUCUACAGCUCCCUAUUUGCUGCCCUUGUGAUUGGCUCACACUAAGUGUUGGGACAGCUUCCUGAGGGGAAGUUUUUCCUGGAAUUGACUGGUUUUGGACUUUUCCAGUUCUGGGAAACAGAAACGUAGGCCUAGUCUCCUAACCUGCAGGUUUGAGGCUGUUGUGGAGUCAGCGUGGCUCUGGCUGAUUCAGUCCUCUUACCAUGGUGGCAUUUGCAUUGUCACAGGUGGCUCUGAUCAAGGACUUUGGCUCCUGUGUAGCUCUGGGUAAAGUAGCAGUGACAUACCACAUAUUCUCCCCAUGAUGGGGUUGUUAGAUUCUCCCACUGAGAUGCCCUUACAUACCCCUGUCUGGCAUCUCACUCGCCUGCGUCUUUCCUCGACCUCGUGUUGAGGAAUGGGCCAUGACUCCUCCUGUGAGUGUCUGCUCUUACUGUCUGACGGCUGACCUGGGGAGCCCAGUCCCCACUGUCUCCCAGCUCUCCUGUCAGUAGUUGGUCACACCUUUGCUAACGUCAUGAUGGCUGGAAUGUGCUCUGCUAACGCAGUUAGGAAAUCUUCCCUCAUUGCCUACGGAGCUCACCUCUGCUCUGACAGGACAGCCACAGUCACCCACCACCUGCACAACGCCCUGUGGAUCUAGGUGCUGCUCACCUCAGGGCACUGAUAUUUCCUCCCCAGCAUCCUGACCGAAUUCACUAACCAUUUGUAUUUCCCAUAUUAUUGAAUAAAGGACAUGAGGAGAAGAGUCAUCCUGGACUACGCUUGGCAAGUGAGCCUUCUAUGGAGUAGGGGACACAUUGUGAUGAAGCAGAGGGAACUCUGAUAGUGGAAUGGGGUAGAGGAAUGGCUCUCAGGGAAGUCCCCUGGAAAGGGCAUUUGGCUUCGCUGAUUUAGUAACAUAUUUGUGGGCUGGUGGAGUUGGAGGUGAUCUAAAAAUCCAUCUUCUGAACAUUCUGUUGUAUCCUGGAGAUUCCUUGGAAUUCUUUGUGAUGUCACCUGUGUUGUGGCAACAGCAACUGCAUUCAUUAAUCCUUCAGUCAGUGACUACAGGCUUUACCCAUAAACGUGUUGGCAAGAGUGAGGAGUGUAGUUGGGAGAGAGACUGGAGGGCUUAGAGAGACUGGAGAGAAGCAGAAGGAAGCUGUCCUUCAAUAUCAACGUACAGCAGGAAGAAACAAAUGCUUCUGGAAAACAGGCAUUGAGUUCUGAGAGGAAGGGAGAAGGGGAGGAACGGGGGAACGGAGGGGAAGAGAGAAGAAAGGAGGGGAAGAUUGAGGGAGGUGGACCUUUAUCUAGAUCUUCCUGUAGUGGGACUCAGCCGCUGAGAGACUCUGGGAAGUGACAGACCUACCCUGCUUCUCUGGGUUCCUACAGAGCAGACCCAGGUCAAGGAUUUCUGAUAGAUCAUUUGGCAGAGUCAGGAAUUGACAAGGUGCAGCUGCUCCUCUGGUAGCCCAUUACGUUCAUUCUGAGAGGCAAUGAAGGCCAGAAGGCACUCAGAAAGUAAGGACGUGGCCCUCUAAGGUUAGGGUUAGAUGUACGAAGGUCUCAGACAUACAGGUACACGUGUCAGGGCUCGUGCUGGUAAUGAUGAGAGACUUCACUAUUUACCUCCAUCACGUUAGCUAUGACCUGACAUUUUCUGCUAAGUCUUCCUGACUGGGCCAGCUUCUGCUCUCUGUGGCUAAAGGGACUACAGUAGGGAGUGCAGCACAUGCAUCUCCAUGGUGGCUGGGGACAGGGAAGUGACUUAGGGGCCUCAGCUCCAGUUUCCUCUCCCUGCUCUUUCCUGGCAUCACCCAGCACUCCCUCUCCCUCAGGCUUUAUCUGGGGACUCUGCGUUCUUUCUUCUGGCCCCGUGCAAUCCAACUCUGUAGGUCUCUUGUGUUUACCUACAGGGACUCCUCAGGAGGCAUCAUCUGCACCCUCCCUCCUCACUGAGCAGGAGCAGCAUGUGCAGAAGGUGGAGAGACAGCCUGUGAGACAGAUGAGCUGCAGGGUGUCAUUGACCCAUCAGACAGUCAAGGAUUUGAGCAACAGGUGGCUAACAUGCCCAGCUCACUCCUGGCUAUGUUGUCACCACUGUGUCAAGCCUAGCUCUCCUCAGGGACAGGAAGCUGAACCUCCAUGAUGUCCUCAUGCCCACUAAUUUUCCUGAGUGUGUCUAAGAAGCAGAACUUGAAGCCAGGUUAGGAGCGGUUUGGGGACACAGGCUGUUCUGCUUCCUCCAAAUGAAAAGCAGAGCCUGUAUCCUCAAUCACAGUCUGGGGACAGGAACAGUAGUGUGCGGCUCUCAACAUGCACUUCAAGAUGCCUUGACUGGCAUUGGCUUGUGGGAGAUGCUAGGUCCUGUGUGUUUGUGAUGGACUUUGUAUUUAACCAGCAGGUGCUUGGGUCCUGGGUUUUGGCAACAGCAGGAGGGACGGGACAUGGCUCCAUUUGGUCCAUGUCAGUGUGUGACUGAAAGGCCAGGAGUUCAUAAGUUCAUAACUCCUCCUCUCUGAUCUGGUUCCUCAUACUCUUAGUGUGUGUGUGUGUGUGUGUGUGUGUGUGUGUGUGUGUGUGUGUUGGAGUCCCUCCAGACUCUGGAAGUGCAGGAUCUGUGGUAGGCCAUGAGGAUCUGCCUGUCUCAGACUUUCCAGUGCUGAGGUCUGGGACCUCCAGUGUGAGCUGCACUGCAUGUGGUCCUUGUGGUCUGUUUGUGACAUUCUUUGCGCCGAGGUCCAGGCCCUCCCCCAGAUUGAAUUUUGAGCUUGGGAUGCAGAGGAGGUAGUGUGAGCAGAUGAGGUCAGACCUGCAGAAAUUGCUGACGGAGAUAAGUGAGGCCUUGGACAAGUGCAAGGAGCUGACUGAGGAAACCGUCUCCUGCUGGUGACUUGCCUGGGACCAGAACAUCUAACAUAGCAAAAAUGUUUGUGCCACGAGGGGGUGUCAAUCUCCCGGGUGUCUGGGGCUCCGGCUGGAGAUUUUCACAGCUCGUUUCCAUGAGACAUGUUGUACUUUGCUGGGUCUCCUGUCCUCUCAGAAGGUGGAUGGCCUCUGCCGCUGAUGUUUUCCAAUACAAUGGACAGAUAAGCAUAGGUCAGGGCCACUGUUCUGGGAGGUACAUGGAUCCCUCUUGAGUUUUUAGGAGCACUUUGAGUCUUUCUGGAAUGUUUCCGCAUAUGGGUGUUUUGCCUGCAUGUAUACCUGUGUACCACGUGUACACCUGGUGCAUUUGGAGGCCAGGGUGGGUACUAGAUCCCCAGAAGUUACAGAUAGUUGUGAGCCACCAUGUGGAUCCUGGGAAUCCAACAUAGGUCCUCUGGAAGACUAUCCAGGGCUCUUAACUAUUGGGCCAUCUCUCCAGCCCCAACCUUUUCUGUGUAUUUGUUUUGAGGUCCAUAGUUCAUAGUUCAGGCUCACCUUGAACUCAAAAGCCUGCUUCAUCCUCUCUGUACACCAUUAUGCCUGCCAAAACAUGUGAUAACUGGAUAUUCCUAAAAGGAAAAUGUGCCAACAUCGUGUGGAAAAGUUUCACUUCAACAAUACCAGGGUGCACAGGAUGAAGCACAGCAACAGAGCAGGCCGGUGAGCACAUCGCUAUCCUCUCAGCUUUUAAGUCUGACAUAUCUAACAUACCACUCUUCUCUUUGAUUGCUGUGCACAGGCAAAACAACGUGAGAGGGGGAAAACCCACAGCAGGAAUUGUGAUAUAUGGAGAAUGUCCUGGUGGGAACCAGUGAUCCCACACAGGACUCCCACAAGCAGCACAGCUCUGAGGGCAUUUCUCAAGCAUGGUCCAGGUGGACAAAUACCCCUCAUCCAGGUAGCUGAGGUCAUCUCCUUUCUUUAGCUUCUGCAGGACCCCAGGGAAGGUGGUGAUAGUGGAGAAUUAUCAUGUAGGAGCUGAGUCUCUCUGGCACCUGGCUACCAUUGGGACUGUCAUUGUUGGGAUCACUCUUCUGGUGCUGAGAAGAGCCCCAGAUUCUGAAUUUGAGGGUGGACUUGGGCUUCAGGGCCUGCUUGCUCAGGUGGUUGUCAGAGCUAUGCUCAGACGCCUCUGUGCCUCUCAUGUUGGACAGACGUCCAGCCUGUGGCUGCCCAUGAUUGGGGAUUUAAGUGUAGAGCUGGCGGCUGUAGAUCCCUUGCCUCAGAUUUAAUUAAUUAUUUAUUUUUUUAUUUAUUCAUUUAUUAUAUAUAAGUACACUGUAGCUGUCUUCAGACACACCAGAAGAGGGAAUCGGAUCUCUUUACAGAUGGUUGUGAGCCACCAUGUGGUUGCUGGGAAUUGAACUCAGGGCCUCUGGAAGAGCAGUCAGUGCUCUUAACCUCUGAGCCAUGUCUCCAGCCCCCUUGCCUCAGAUUUAUAUCUCAUCACAUCUGCCUGCACUGCUGGCCUAAGCCAGGCUAUUCUGUAUAUUCAUGAUGGCUACUAUAAAGUCUUAAAAUCAGUUCAAAGUUUUUCAUUGUGAGGCUUACAUUUUAGUUAAGUAUAAAAGUUUCUAAGACGUGUUGGGGUAAUGGUAAAUACUUAUGAGUAUUUACUGUAAUUCCAGAGGCCCCAAAUUUGGUUUCCAGCACCCACAUAGUGGCUCACAACUACCCAUAAUUCCAGUUCCAAGGGAUUUGAUCUCCUGACUUCCACAAGCAUUUGACACACACAUCGUUCAGCAUGCAAAACAUUGGCGCACAUGAAAUAAGUCAUUUAAAAAUGUGUAAGAAACAAGGUCUCUUCCCACAAUAAAAUCAACUUCCACGGUAGCAAAACAUUUGCUGCUGUGGAUCGGUUGCUUGUAUUUCAAUCCAGAGGGCAGAGUCACACUAAGUGCCAUUCAUGGUUGGAACUCAGCAAGUAGGGUUCAGAUUUAGCUCCAUUUCUUGAACAUCUACCUUGCAAAAGGAGCUACAUGGCCUUAGUUAUACUCAUGUGCAGAAAGACCCAAUAUUUAGAAGACAUCAGUGAGCUUGUAGUUCAGUGUGGACUGCAAAGGAGGGCGGUGACUGCCAGGGGAAGAACAACGGACAAACCAUCUUAGGGAUGUUCAGAUAGUGGCUGGAGAUAAAGGACAAGAGUUUGAAGACAAUGGAAAACUGAGAAAUACUGAUAACCAUUCCUAAGUUUAAAUUGUAGGUACAACAGUUUUCCUGGGAGGCAGAGGCAGCCUUGACGAAUCACCAUCCAGAGAAAUGUGUUUCUUAGGCUCUCUCAUUUUGGAAAUCCUCCGACUUCAGAAGUCAUACUGAUGAUGACACAGAGAAAGGGUGCAAUUCUUAUAGAAGCCUCUUUUGAUAUACUUCAUAAAAAUCAAGUCUCACCAAUUCGGAAGUUUGCUGAAAUCAACACAACUAGUAGUCUGCAACUCGGCUCUCUACUGUUGCUACCUAUUGGUUUCCACGCCCUCAGCCUUCUAAUCAUCUGGGAAUGCCCUUGGCAUGGCAGGAUAGCAAAUCAUGUACGAGACCUGGUCUAAGAUAUGUUCCAUCUCGAAGAAGAAAUGUGUAGCUGUUUAAUCUCCCGCACAAGCAGCAUUGCACAGUACACAAAGCAGCAGCACCCAGCAAACAGGCCUCUAGUUUAUUAAUGGGUCCACACAAUCUCUGUCCUAGUCCAGCAGAACAAAGGCUUUCACUAGUCAGCUGUUCGAAAGGUAGAGCAGAAAGGAUUUAGCCGUGCCAAACUCCAGCAUACAGAAAGGCCUGAAAGGCCUUCUUAUUCAUAUGCACUCUCAGUGUUUCCAGUCAGACAUCAACCCUAUUCCCCAGACCAUCAAGGAGCACAACUCACAGAGACUCCCAGCCUGGAUAGGCCUAGCUUGGUUACUGGGUAAAGAGAGGAGACACAUCUGUCCCCCAUGGCUUCACACCAUUGUAACUGUCAGUUUCUAGAUAUCCCCACUAUACUAUGAUUCUGUGGGGACGGAGACUGAGGACUGCCAGGAUCUAGAAUGGUGCCAGGAGACCCCUGAACAGCAGCGUGUCCCUUCCUAGCCCCUAGAUUAGGGCAGAAGCCACACCCAAACACCCGUUUUCACAGAGAGGUCCUUUAUCAAGCAAGGAAGAAAAGUUAAAGUGGCUGCUUUCUGAUUCAAGCAGAAAACAGCAGCUUUCAGGUGUAAUUUUUAAGAAAAAAAAAAGGGGGGGUGAUUAGAAUGGGCUAGAAUAUAGUGGUGUAUUUUGAUUGGGCAUGUUAAUUAGAUGGAUAGGGUUUUGACUGCUGGACUUUAUUUAUUCUUUUUAUAGCUGGACCUUGGUAGUCAGCUUCAGGUGAAGGAAAUGGCUAAAUAAGGGAAUGGACCUUGGGGCUAGCAUUAGGAAUGUAAUCUUAGGGUUUUUAGCAAAGCAGAGAGAAUAGGAGAAAGGGGUAAGGCCAUGUUUGCUAGGCAUGAGCUGUGCCAGAGUAAGGCAAGCUAGAAUCCCUUCAGUGCCCCAUAGGCAACAUCCAUUUUUUUUUUUUUUUAAAGAGUUAACGUCAAACCAGGGAAAUCUGAAGACAACAGGAACAGCAUAGGAAGGAAGGGCUGGACAACUUAGGUUUUCAGCUUCUAACUCCAGGACCUCUAACUCUUGCCUGCUAAGCAAAGGGGAAACUAGGUUACUAUCAUUAAAUAAGGCUCCUCUAAGAAUUAUAGCCCUAUGUGUACAUGUAGAGUAUUUAAAGAAUUAUAGCCCUAUGUGUACAUGUAGAGUGUUUAAAAUUAGGGCUAAAAUUAUUUAGUGACAUCCAGAAUUCACAAAUACAAACAAACACUAGUCUCUUUAAAUACAGGCAAGUUACUUAUGAAGUUCUAGGGCUCAAAAUCAGUUUUGUUUCUAAUUUAAUUCAGUUUGAAAAUGUCACGGAAGCCAUGCCUAUAAUCCCAGAACAUGGGAGGCAGAGACAGGAAGAUUGCAAGUCCAAAAGUAACCAACCUGGGCUACCGAGUGAAUUCUAGGCUAGCCUUGGAUAAAUAUCAAAACCCUGUCUCAAAGAAAAUUAUAUUACUAAAAAUAAAUCAGAAGUCACAAAGGACAAGAAAAUUCUCUCUCUCCUUCUCUCUCUCUCACACUCAUACACACAUACAUUCUCUCUCUCUCUGUCUCUCUCUCUCUCUCUCUCUCUCUCUCUCUCUCACACACACACACACACACACACACACACACACACACACACACACACACACACACACCCGUACUGUUAUGGUUUAGGUAGACAUCUCACUGUAGGUCUCCAUUGCUUUCCUUUGUGGAACCAGGACAAUCCAACACUGGUGACGUGGCUUUACCUGUCUGUUUGGUGUUUUGUUUUUCUACUAUAGCAUGCAUGUCCUUCCCACACACUUUCCACACAGAGGAUGACCUCUAGUGUGGCUACAUGAACUAUUCCAGCCAGGAGCUUACUCCUGGACAUUUUGAUCAUUUAUCUCACAUUAAUUCCACACUAACUGUCCUGAUUAUCUGAAAUGUUGUGCACAUAACCGUGUUCGCUAAAAAAUUUUUAGAAGUACAUUUUUGGAGCAAGCCUGCAGUUUUACCUCAGUUUAUCUGUAUGUAGAUCUCUUUCUUUUUUUGUAGCAGAAAAACCACAAUGGCUGGAAGAAGCCAAAGUUCCCAGUCUGGGAAGGGAAGUCGAGGAAGGCUGGUGAUGGACAUGAGAGAAAAGUAUGCUAUUUUUGGUCAAAAAAAAAAACAAUGUGAUUCAAAGUGGAAUUAGAAACAAGGAAUUUCGAAACAGCGAUUAGCCUAUUACUAAGCCAGCACUCCUCAAAGAGAGCAGGAUGAAGGAACAGUGCUGUCUCACUUAAUUUAAAGUUAGAUGUACUCUUUCCCCCAAAACCUUACUAUUGCAGUAAGUGUUCAUUAUGACACUCCAUAAACAUGCCACCGCUUAAACAACACUUCCAUUUUCACACCACCACCAAAAAUGUAGACAUUGUUCUUCUCAGCUUCCAGAGGAGGGAAUGAGACUCAGAGAAAAUAAAGUGGUUUGCCGCUGAAAAACAAAGACGGUAAAACCCAGAGAUAAGAACACUCUGGAUGUGUGUCAUGUUCUGCACCAGGCCCUUCUGUUUGUCUUCGUCUUUAGACACGGCCUUACUUUGCAGUCCAGGGUGGUCUUAAGUGGAUUCUAACUGCUGUGCUUACUAUCUGAUUACAGCCCUGCUCUACUGAACCUGAAGGAAACUGCAGGAGACACACUAAAGACGCUAGUUAUGAACAGGCUUAUUUAAAACUGAAAUAACUACAAGAUCCCACUGACUUGAUUUGGAUAAAGUAAAUAUCAACAUUCGCAUGUAAUGCCAUGAGUCUGGCGAGUAAGUCACAUUUAAACAAUGACGAUAUUAAAAGGAAGAAGGAAGUAAGA